AUUAUCUUGAAUAUUAUUAUAGAUAAAGAUAAACUGUAAACAGCAAUAAUGUUCAGCAAAGUAAGAUUUACAAAUAAGUCAACAUGACCGAAAUGGUCAAUUGACCCCCUAAGGAGUUAUUUUCCUUUAUAGUCAAUUUUUAACAAUUUUCAUAAAAUUUGUAAAUUUUUAUUAACAUUUCCACUGAUACUACUGGGCCAAUUCAUUAUAGAUAGAGAUAAUUGUAAGCAGCAA
RNAcentral lists this long non-coding RNA (234 nucleotides) under Mytilus galloprovincialis (Mediterranean mussel). The record is from RNAcentral. Lineage: Eukaryota; Metazoa; Mollusca; Bivalvia; Mytilida; Mytilidae.